RNAcentral lists this ribosomal RNA (253 nucleotides) under uncultured bacterium. Its description in RNAcentral is "partial 16S ribosomal RNA". It matches the Rfam family "Bacterial small subunit ribosomal RNA", at positions 524 to 776 of the family's 1533-position model. The record is from RNAcentral.
GACGUAGGGGGCGAGCGUUGUCCGGAUUCAUUGGGCGUAAAGGGUGCGUAGGCGGCGCGGUAAGUCGGGUGUGAAAUCUCGGGGCUUAACUCCGAAACUGCAUUCGAUACUGCCGUGCUUGAGGACUGGAGAGGAGACUGGAAUUUACGGUGUAGCGGUGAAAUGCGUAGAUAUCGUAAGGAAGACCAGUGGCGAAGGCGGGUCUCUGGACAGUUCCUGACGCUGAGGCACGAAGGCCAGGGGAGCAAACGGG